AUGACUCUCCACGGGCCUCCUCCUCUGCUCCGCGGCCGUCCGCGUGGACGAGGUCCGCCUCCGACGCCUCUCCACCGAAGCCGCCAGUGCUCGGCGUGCUGGACAUCGGCGGCGCCAAGCGGCGGCCAGUGCGGCUUCCGAGAAGGGCGGCGGCGCAGCGAGUCAUCGACGAGCACCGCGCCUCCUUCGACGAACAUGACGGGAUGA
RNAcentral lists this ribosomal RNA (207 nucleotides) under Triticum aestivum (bread wheat). Its description in RNAcentral is "partial small subunit ribosomal RNA". The record is from RNAcentral. Lineage: Eukaryota; Viridiplantae; Streptophyta; Magnoliopsida; Poales; Poaceae.